AAGGUAGCGAAAUUCCUUGUCGGGUAAGUUCCGACCUGCACGAAUGGCGUAACGACUUCCCCGCUGUCUCCAACAUCGACUCAGCGAAAUUGAAUUCUCCGUGAAGAUGCGGAGUACCCGCGGUUAGACGGAAAGACCCCGUGCACCUUUACUGCAACUUUACAUUGGUGUUAGGAAAAACAUAUUUAGCAUAGGAGGGAGACUUUGAAGCAAAGGCGUCAGCUUUUGUGGAGUCACCAGUGAAAUACCUCUUUUGUUUUUCUUGACAUCUAACCGCUAGCCGUCAUCCGGCAGCGAGACAUUGUAUGGUGGGUAGUUUGACUGGGGCGGUCGCCUCCCAAAUAGUAACGGAGGCGUGCGAAGGUAGGCUCAGAACGGUCAGAAAUCGUUCGUAGAGUGCAAUGGCAUAAGCCUGCCUGACUGUGAGACUGACAAGUCGAGCAGAGACGAAAGUCGGUCAUAGUGAUCCGGUGCUUCUGAGUGGAAGGGGCAUCGCUCAACGGAUAAAAGGUACGCCGGGGAUAACAGGCUGAUACUGCCCAAGAGUCCAUAUCGACGGCAGUGUUUGGCACCUCGAUGUCGGCUCAUCUCAUCCUGGGGCUGGAGCAGGUCCCAAGGGUACGGCUGUUCGCCGUUUAAAGAGGUACGUGAGCUGGGUUUAGAACGUCGUGAGACAGUUCGGUCCCUAUCUUCCGUGGGUGUAGGAUACUUGAGAGGAGUUGCCCCUAGUACGAGAGGACCGGGGUGAACGAUCCACUGGUGGACCAGUUGUUAUGCCAAUAGCAGUGCUGGGUAGCUAUGAUCGGACAGGAUAACCGCUGAAGGCAUCUAAGCGGGAAGCCCCCCUCAAAACAAGGUAUCCCUGAGAGCCGAGAUAGACCAUCUCGUCGAUAGGCCAGAGAUGUAAGCGUAGUAAUACGUUCAGUUGACUGGUACUAAUUGCUCGAUAGGCUUGAUUUG
This 960-nucleotide ribosomal RNA is filed under the name seawater metagenome. Its description in RNAcentral is "bacterial LSU rRNA". It matches the Rfam family "Bacterial large subunit ribosomal RNA", at positions 1953 to 2925 of the family's 2925-position model. The record is from RNAcentral.